CCACAGAGGGAUAGCCCAGAGAAAUUUGGAUUAAUACCUCAUAGCAUCAUGACCCGGCAUCGGGAUAUGAUUAAAGUCACAACGGUGGAAGAUGAGCAUGCGUCCCAUUAGCUAGUUGGUAAGGUAACGGCUUACCAAGGCUACGAUGGGUAGGGGUCCUGAGAGGGAGAUCCCCCACACUGGUACUGAGACACGGACCAGACUCCUACGGGAGGCAGCAGUGAGGAAUAUUGGUCAAUGGGCGCAAGCCUGAACCAGCCAUGCCGCGUGCAGGAUGACGGUCCUAUGGAUUGUAAACUGCUUUUGUACGGGAAGAAACCCUCCUACGUGUAGGAGCUUGACGGUACCGUAAGAAUAAGGAUCGGCUAACUCCGUGCCAGCAGCCGCGGUAAUACGGAGGAUCCAAGCGUUAUCCGGAAUCAUUGGGUUUAAAGGGUCUGUAGGCGGUCUUGUAAGUCAGUGGUGAAAGCCCAUCGCUCAACGGUGGAACGGCCAUUGAUACUGCUGGACUUGAAUUAUUGGGAAGCAACUAGAAUAUGUAGUGUAGCGGUGAAAUGCUUAGAGAUUACAUGGAAUACCAAUUGCGAAGGCAGGUUGCUACCAAUGGAUUGACGCUGAUGGACGAAAGCGUGGGUAGCGAACAGGAUUAGAUACCCUGGUAGUCCACGCCGUAAACGAUGGAUACUAGCUGUUGGGCGCAAGUUCAGUGGCUAAGCGAAAGUGAUAAGUAUCCCACCUGGGGAGUACGAACGCAAGUUUGAAACUCAAAGGAAUUGACGGGGGCCCGCACAAGCGGUGGAGCAUGUGGUUUAAUUCGAUGAUACGCGAGGAACCUUACCAAGGCUUAAAU
Molecule: ribosomal RNA, 850 nt
Filed under: Flavobacterium johnsoniae
Lineage: Bacteria; Pseudomonadati; Bacteroidota; Flavobacteriia; Flavobacteriales; Flavobacteriaceae
Description: bacterial SSU rRNA
Rfam family: Bacterial small subunit ribosomal RNA
Source: RNAcentral